Molecule: long non-coding RNA, 1812 nt
Organism: Hevea brasiliensis (rubber tree)
Lineage: Eukaryota; Viridiplantae; Streptophyta; Magnoliopsida; Malpighiales; Euphorbiaceae
Exons: 3
Source: RefSeq, a predicted model, not a curated record
UGUCCAGAUCAGCAUCUAACUGAAAAACUGAUAAUUGGAGGUUAGAGGGAUUUUACUGUGCAAAAUUUGAAAGUUUGUGGUGUUUUAUGUUACAUUUUUAAUUUGAGAUACCGUAAUGUUACAACUAAAUAAAUUCAGGGAUAGUUGUCAAAAUUUAUUCAAUUUUCCAUCAAGGGCCUCUGCCUGGUUUGGAGUUUCUAGAAACAGUGUGAUUGAGUAUUUUGGUAUUUGCCCAAUCUGAUUUCAGUAUUUCAACAGCAGCAGCUGAGAUUGGUAUUGUUGUUGGCGGCAGCAACAGUGACAACAUAGAUGGUGGAGGAAGUAAAAAAAAUAAAUAACAGUAAAUAAAGUAAUAAUGACUACAUAAAUUUCUGUAUGUAAUGGAAAUUUCACUAAGUAAUAGUUUUUACAUUGUGUAGUAGACGUUACAUGCAAUAGAUUUUCUUCGUGCAACCAAGCAAAGUAGCGAGUCAUGUAAUGUUUCCACAGUUGUAUUACAGUUUUGAUUACAUUCUAGUAUUGCCUUAAGCUAUUUACGGGUACUGAUGCUGCUCUCCUUUGAUCAAUCUUUAUACCUUAUCGACCUGUGCCACAAGGAGAGAAAGUGAGGUCGGUGACUUAUUGAUCAACCACUCCGAUGCUUAAGUUGGAAUUUAAAGUUUGAUUGAAUUUGAAUGAAAGAGAUGAUUCAAUAGUGACUUUGAUAGAGUCAGCUUACUUGAUUUAUUGUAGUUGAUUCCGAGGAUCUUGAUAUGCUCGGCGGCUGCAUCCAUUAUUGACUUGUUCUUCCAAUGCUCGGCUAGGUGUAGCUCGGGGAUGUUGGGCGAGCAUUCUGUCCGGCUAUUGGUCGAAUGUGUUCACUCAUGUUAGUGCUUGUUCUGGACCUGGCCGAGCCUACGACACUCGGUCUUGUCUAUCCGAGUCUGAUGAUGCUUGGACUGUUUAGCCUGAGCCAUUUGAUGCUUGGAGUGGUCACUUGUCAUGACUUCUUCUCUGUUGUUGACCUCUUGACUGAAUGCUUGACUUUUUGACCGGCAUGUUGGCUCUUUGACUGAGUACUGGCUCGUUGACUUGGUUUUGGGACGGGCUAUAUCAGUUUUGGGUUUUGUUGGAGAACCUUGGACAAUAGCUACAUCUAUAGUGGAAGAGGUACAACUCUUACAUACACUACCAUAAAGAGUAUGUGCCAUACAGCACCACAUGUAUUGAGUGCUCCUCUCUCAUUCAACACAGGCAAUAUGGAGUCUGGGGCACAUUGCAUACAAUAUUUGAUUCCUGGGGUGGACCAGCUACCACCUUGCAUUUGGGACUGUUGGUAAAGGCCUUACAUUGAAGAAAUAAUCCAUAUAUGCCCUGAAACACCACUUGUUCUCUACAUUAAUGGAAAUGGUGGCCUUGUUGAGCAUAUGAAAGGAACUGGAGUUGAUGUGAUUGUGCUAGACUGGACGAUGGAUAUGGCAGAUGAUCGAAGCGUUUGCAACAUUGCGUAGUGGUGGUGGGAUUAGUAUAAAAGGAAAUGGGGACCAUGCUUCACCUCUUCCUGCAUUGUCCGAUGAAAUUCAUUGGUUUGGGAAAUAAAUUAGAAUUUUCUGAUCUAACUACUUCCCCCACCAUAUUCAGUACUGUUGACAUACGAAUAUUUGAAUUUCACUAUGUGUGAGCCAAAGCUUGCUUGUUUAUAGGAAUGAAGUCCUUAGUCUUCAAAUCAGUUUGUUGAAAGUCUUUCUGAAUUGGAAAUCCUUUUUAAUAUUUACUUCUCUUUGUCAGUGUCAUAAUAAUGAAUAUUCAAUUAAAAUUUUAAUAUUUUUUAAA